Glycine soja is the source of this 118-nucleotide non-coding RNA. The record is from Rfam. Lineage: Eukaryota; Viridiplantae; Streptophyta; Magnoliopsida; Fabales; Fabaceae.
CCACAAUUGGACGUUAACUGUUAAUAAUAAGUGAUGUUGACUGUCAACUUCAUGAAAUAUGAAAUGAAUUGUUGUUUUCAUUGACCAAUCAGAACAUGACACGUAUCAAUCAUCAUCC